AACUCUCUCUUAUUUUUAUUUUAUUAUUUAUUUAUUUUCUUUUUUUUCCUUUUUCUUUUCUUUUUCCUUUUUUCCUUCUCCUUUUUUCUUUUUCUUUUCUUCUUCCUUUUUCCUUUUUCUUUUCUUUUUCCUUUUUCCUUUUCUUUUUCUUUUUUCUUCCUUCUUCUACUUCUUCCUGUGGCCUCCCCUAGGUGAAAAAAAAUGAAAUAGGGGACCGAAUGGUCCCCUCAUAUGGUUGGCCGACCGACGAUCGGCCGGCACGAGAAUGGUUGACAGUCGGAGGAGAGCACACCGCCAUCCCAAGGGACCCAAACUGGUGGCCGGCGACGACCACCGACGUUCGAAAAUUAAAAAAAAUUGAAACCUCUCCCAUGACAAAAUCCGAUGAUUUUGAUCACCGGUGAGCGUGCACA
Molecule: long non-coding RNA, 413 nt
Filed under: Elaeis guineensis (African oil palm)
Lineage: Eukaryota; Viridiplantae; Streptophyta; Magnoliopsida; Arecales; Arecaceae
Description: long non-coding RNA (EGUI_LNC080344)
Source: RNAcentral